ACGACGACUCUAACCACACGUGUGCAGUCCGUUUCCGCGGGCGACGUCACCGAUCUGCUGGAACAUCGCCCCCGGGUGAACCAGCAGCUGAAUUUCACCCCGAGAUUCGGUCCACAGAUUAUGUGGUGACGGUCAGUCUCCGGACCCUUGCGGGCCGCGGGCUGAUGAAGAUAUAACCGGUCGAGCAUCGGUCAGAUGCCCGAGAAACGUUCCGUAGGUGAACCUGCGGAAGGAUCAUUAUCGAGUUUGG
Molecule: ribosomal RNA, 250 nt
Filed under: Verrucaria alpicola
Lineage: Eukaryota; Fungi; Ascomycota; Eurotiomycetes; Verrucariales; Verrucariaceae
Description: partial 18S ribosomal RNA
Source: RNAcentral